GGGCUCACACAAGCGGUGGAGCAUGUGGCUUAAUUCGAGGCUACGCGAAGAACCUUAUCCUAGGCUUGACAUGUUCGAAAGAGAUAGCAGGUAGAACCCGGAAACGGGAACGAACGGUAUCCAAUCCGGAAGCUAUCACAGGUGCUGCAUGGCUGUCGUCAGCUCGUGUCGUGAGAUGUCGGGUUAAGUCCCUUAACGAGCGAAACCCUUACCAUUAGUUGCCAGCGGGUCAUGCCGGGGACUCUAGUGGGACUGCCGGUGUCAAACCGGAGGAAGGUGGGGAUGACGUCAAGUCCUCAUGGCCUUUAUGCUUAGGGCUGCACACGUGCUACAAUGGCGUGAACAAAGGGAAGCCAAGUUGCGAAACUGAGCCAAUCCCAAAAAACACGCCCCAGUUCAGAUCGAAGGCUGCAACUCGCCUUCGUGAAGUUGGAAUCGCUAGUAAUCGCGGGUCAGCAACACCGCGGUGAAUGUGUUCCUGAGCCUU
RNAcentral lists this ribosomal RNA (487 nucleotides) under uncultured bacterium. RNAcentral's name for it is "bacterial SSU rRNA". It matches the Rfam family "Bacterial small subunit ribosomal RNA", at positions 917 to 1382 of the family's 1533-position model. The record is from RNAcentral.